This 318-nucleotide ribosomal RNA is filed under the name uncultured eukaryote. RNAcentral's name for it is "partial 18S ribosomal RNA". It matches the Rfam family "Eukaryotic small subunit ribosomal RNA", at positions 1470 to 1796 of the family's 1831-position model. The record is from RNAcentral.
CCCUUAGAUGUUCUGGGCCGCACGCGCGCUACACUGAUGCAUGCAACGAGUUCUAUCCUUGGCCGGAAGGCCUGGGUAAUCUGUGAACGUGCAUCGUGAUAGGGAUAGAUUAUUGCAAUUAUUAAUCUUGAACGAGGAAUUCCUAGUAAACGCAAGUCAUCAGCUUGCAUUGAUUACGUCCCUGCCCUUUGUACACACCGCCCGUCGCUCCUACCGAUUGGGUGCUCCGGUGAAUUGUUUGGACUGCUGUCAGUCUUUUUGGCUGUCGGCGAGAAGCUCUGUGAACCUUAGCACCUAGAGGAAGGAGAAGUCGUAACA